UACGAAGGGGGCUAGCGUUGCUCGGAAUCACUGGGCGUAAAGCGCACGUAGGCGGACUGUUAAGUCGGUGGUGAAAUCCUGGAGCUCAACUCCAGAACUGCCUUCGAUACUGAGAGUCUCGAGUCCGGGAGAGGUGAGUGGAACUGCGAGUGUAGAGGUGAAAUUCGUAGAUAUUCGCAAGAACACCAGUGGCGAAGGCGGCUCACUGGCCCGGUACUGACGCUGAGGUGCGAAAGCGUGGGGAGCAAACAGG
This 253-nucleotide ribosomal RNA is filed under the name uncultured bacterium. RNAcentral describes it as "partial 16S ribosomal RNA". It matches the Rfam family "Bacterial small subunit ribosomal RNA", at positions 524 to 776 of the family's 1533-position model. The record is from RNAcentral.